UUCUUCUUGAGGAUUAUCAUUUGGUGGAGAAGCUUGCAAAUUUUCAAAGAGAACGCAUUCCAGAACGUGUGGUCCAUGCUAGAGGAGCUAGUGCUAAAGGGUUUUUUGAGGUCACUCACGAUGUCUCUGACCUCACAUGUGCUGAUUUCCUUCGUGCCCCUGGAGUGCAGACUCCAGUUAUUGUUAGGUUUUCCACUGUUAUCCACGAGCGUGGCAGCCCUGAGACCAUAAGGGACCCUCGAGGUUUUGCUGUGAAGUUCUAUACUAGAGAGGUAACUGAACUAGCUUAAUAAGUAAUUCUUCUCUCAUUAAGGAGUCUUUCCAGUUGGCUUUUCAAGUUUUUCAAUUACAAAUUCUCAAAAAGAGCUUCAUUUUUCAAUCACUCCAUAAAUUUUUAAGUGAGUCCUUGAAAACUCAUUCCGUUACAUAAUUGCAACCUCAAUGCUCAGACAAAGGUUUUAUAUUUGGAGGUUAUUUAUAUAAACAGGGUGUUUUUUGCCAAUUUAUAUGCAUUAGACUGUUGUUUUUAAAUUCUUGUGUUUAUGGUUCCAUGAAGGAAAUGUGUGCUUGGAAGGCAUGUCAUUCUGCAUUUUUACAGUAUGCGUCCUCAGGUCUCAUGUCUGUUGCUGAAGAGAACUUUGUAACCAAUGUCCAUGUUGUUUGAUGAUAUCUUAGUUGUACUCUUUGUACAUGUUGGUUGUGUGUUUUCUCAAAGAGAGAGGGAGAGAGAAGAUACUCUAAUUGAUGCAUGCCACUAUGGACUGGUAGAGACUGAACUUUGUGUGUGUAUUUUCAUAUAGGCAAGCUGUAUGCAUGGAAUCUGUUCUUCUUUUGUUUGAGUUAUUUGAAAGAUGGAAUUGUGUAUUUCUUAAUGAGGUUUCCAUCAUAAAAAUCUGAGUAGUUAAUUAUUUGAUGCAUUUGAAAGGAAAUAACUUACUAAUUUGCUCAAUCUUAAACCUUGUUGGCAUCAGGGCAAUUUUGAUAUGGUGGGAAACAAUUUCCCAGUCUUCUUUAUUCGUGAUGCAAUGAAGUUCCCUGAUGUGAUCCAUGCUUUUAAACCCAAUCCGAAGUCCCAUAUCCAGGAGUAUUGGAGAGUUGUUGACUUCUUGUCCUACCAUCCAGAAAGCUUGAGCACAUUUGCCUUCCUCUUCGAUGAUGUGGGUGUCCCACAGGACUAUAGGCACAUGGAAGGCUUUGGUGUUCACACCUUCACUCUAAUCAACAAGGCUGGGAAGGCAAAUUAUGUGAAGUUCCACUGGAAACCCACGUGUGGAGUCAAGUGUUUGUUGGAGGAUGAAGCCAUAAGAGUAGGAGGAACUAACCACAGUCAUGCUA
Molecule: long non-coding RNA, 1335 nt
Filed under: Vitis vinifera (wine grape)
Lineage: Eukaryota; Viridiplantae; Streptophyta; Magnoliopsida; Vitales; Vitaceae
Description: long non-coding RNA (VVIN_LNC001206)
Source: RNAcentral